UAUUACUUUGACUAAACCCCUGGGUCAAUUGCUUUUCUAUGAAAAAUGGGUUAAAUAUAACCCAUAUUGGGUCAUUUUCCGUACCCAUUACCUGGGUUAUUCGCUAAACCCACAUCAGCACCCAGGCCCUGGGUCAUUUCAACCCUGUAAUCUUGUCAAUAUAUUUGAAUUUUGAAUUUUACCGCCCGGACGCCAUUGCCAAAACGGCUAGUAAACUCAAGAACUACCAACGUCCAGAAGAAAGGACACCGGAUGGCAUGUGAAAGCAUUGUUUAGGUGGACUUCUCUCCUCUGACCGGUUACCAAGACAGCUGGGUGUGUAGGAAACUGGAACUAAGUCACUGAAGAAGUAAACCGAUGAAAACCGAUUUGGAUUGUCUGAGAGAUCUGUAGGGCACAAGUAAGAGGAGAAGAAUGCUGCUCAGCUGGGUCGGCGUCGGCCACACUACUUAUUCAAGAAGCCCUUGGAUAUCAUCGGCAUGUAUGAAGCACAGUCAUUCCGGUAGUCCGUUCCUCGAUGGACGUGAUGACCUGGCACCAAAACCGCUUAAUGUGUACGGAGCUGUGUCUGCAUCGAGGGAAGAACGCGGCACUGAAAUGACACAAAUGAAAGAAGAUUACUUCUGCUCUGCUGGGUCUGUGACACUAUUUAUCCGAGGAGUCCUCAAACAUCAGGAUGUAGGAAGACACAAGUAAAAGGAGAAGAAUGCUGCUCAGCUGGGUCGGCG
This is a long non-coding RNA of Engraulis encrasicolus (European anchovy), 728 nucleotides long. RefSeq lists it as uncharacterized. NCBI's taxonomy places the organism in Eukaryota, Metazoa, Chordata, Actinopteri, Clupeiformes, Engraulidae. The record is from RefSeq and is a predicted model, not a curated record. The transcript has 6 exons.